RNAcentral lists this ribosomal RNA (775 nucleotides) under uncultured Neocallimastigales. RNAcentral's name for it is "partial large subunit ribosomal RNA". It matches the Rfam family "Eukaryotic large subunit ribosomal RNA", at positions 24 to 631 of the family's 3401-position model. The record is from RNAcentral. Lineage: Eukaryota; Fungi; Neocallimastigomycota; Neocallimastigomycetes; Neocallimastigales.
UAUGUGAUCGUCUCUCGCAUAUCAAUAAGCGGAGGAAAAGAAACUAACAAGGAUUCCCCUAGUAACGGCGAGUGAAGCGGGAAGAGCUCAAAUUUGAAAUCUUAAAGGGUUUCCCUUUACGAAUUGUAGUUUAAAGAAGUGUUUUCUGUUGAGGUUUUGGUAAAAGUUCUUUGGAAUAGGACAUCAUAGAGGGUGAGAAUCCCGUAUUUGACCUUUACUUUCAACUUUGUGAUACACUUUCAAAGAGUCGGAUUGUUUGGGAAUGCAGUCCAAAAUGGGUGGUAAAUUUCAUCUAAAGCUAAAUAUUGGCGAGAGACCGAUAGCGAACAAGUACCGUGAGGGAAAGAUGAAAAGAACUUUGAAAAGAGAGUUAAACAGUACGUGAAAUUGUCAAAAGGGAAGCGUUUGACACCAGUGUUGUUUUUCUGAAAAUCAAUUAAAGAACUGUUUAUGCUAAGUUGUUUAGACUUUAUCAGCUAACUGUUUAGUUUUGAGCUUUUCUUUAAUGCACUUUUCAGUUAACAAGUCAACAUCAAUUUCUUUUGCUGUAAAAAAGCUUGAGGAAGGUGGCUUGAGAUUCGUCUUAAGUGUUUAUAGCCUCUUGCCUAUGCAGUCGGAGAGAUUGAGGUACUGCAGCGUAGAUCCUUCGGGGCUAAAUGCAUUUGUGCUAAGUUAUAGCAUUUUAUAGACAACUUGUUGACUAUGAUUUGUCUUGUAGCUUACUCGCUUAUGUUAUUUUACCUACGCUUAGGAUGUUGAUCUACAGAGCGAGAGU